ACGCUCGACACCUACGGGCAGCAGUAGGGAAUCUUCCACAAUGGGCGCAAGCCUGAUGGAGCAACACCGCGUGAGUGAAGAAGGGUUUCGGCUCGUAAAGCUCUGUUGUUGGAGAAGAACGUGCGUGAGAGUAACUGUUCACGCAGUGACGGUAUCCAACCAGAAAGUCGCGGCUAACUACGUGCCAACAGCCGCGGUAAUCUGAGCGGGCUGGCAAGGC
RNAcentral lists this ribosomal RNA (220 nucleotides) under uncultured bacterium. RNAcentral describes it as "partial 16S ribosomal RNA". It matches the Rfam family "Bacterial small subunit ribosomal RNA", at positions 326 to 539 of the family's 1533-position model. The record is from RNAcentral.